This 803-nucleotide long non-coding RNA is filed under the name Danio rerio (zebrafish). RNAcentral's name for it is "lncRNA si:ch211-14j20.2 (ENSDARG00000097769.2)". Lineage: Eukaryota; Metazoa; Chordata; Actinopteri; Cypriniformes; Danionidae. The record is from RNAcentral.
AGUCUGUUUCUGCCUAUCACCAUGAGUGAUUCAGAACUCCAAGAGCAACUGAUAAACCUUGAUACAUGGAGUUAUCAAGAUCUCAAUUAUAAGCUCAAGUCUUGAUGACAACUUGCAGGAAGCACCACCAGUAAAGACACCUGAACCAAGGCUCAUAGGAUCCCCAAUCUUCCCAACUGUGAGAGGGCCUUGCUCCAGAGACUGCCUGUGAAAUGGAGUGAGGCAUACCAGGAUAUGUGUGGUUUAACUGUUGGGCUGGAGGUUGGAACAGUGCAGUGUUUCCUCUCUAGGAUUGCAGUGACCAGACAUGCUACUGUAACUCUCAUGGUCAUGUGCUGGAAUUAGCAGAUAUUCAACAAUUUGGCCAUCUCACUGACCUGUUGAUAUCAGAAGACCCCAACAGCUCUGCAAAGCAAGUUGCAAAACAGAAACCAAUUGGAAGACUUUGGUCUGUGAUGUAGAGGAGUGGGCAGCAGAAGCAAAGACAAGAAAAAAACAGAAGUGAUAUGGAUAUCUUCGCCUCAUGGCAUGACUCUGUUGAUCUAACAACAAAGAAAAGGGCGUUCAACAUCUUCCUGCUAGUCAGGAUUCUUCAGGAGAAGCAGAGGAUUCUUGUGGCAGAGAUGGCCAACCGCUAUAUAUACCUUUCAACUCAUCCUGGUUCCUUCAAAGAACUUUCCUACUUGUUUGCUACUGAAAAAUUCGACAUGUGGCCCAAAAGAAGAGGGGUUGAAAGGUCUGUGGAUCAUCAUUCUCAGAAAGCAACAAAAUAACUGCAAAAUAAACAACAAUACGAGGGUGCA